Molecule: long non-coding RNA, 628 nt
Organism: Cyprinus carpio (common carp)
Lineage: Eukaryota; Metazoa; Chordata; Actinopteri; Cypriniformes; Cyprinidae
Source: Ensembl
CUCAAGACAUGGAAUUCUAGGAGAGGCCCGUGCUCCUCUGAACAGUCUGAAGCUCUCAUAUCCCCUAGAGUUAAGAGAGGAUCUGCAAGUACCCAAGAAAGAUAUGGUUGGUGAGGCACUGCUCUCUCUGAAAUACAUGCCUACAUCUCAGAGGCUGGAGGUGGGGGUGUUGAAGAUCCGCACAGUAUGUCAUCCCAAUAAGACUGAAAGAGCUCUCUAUGCCGAAACCAGCAUUACCUGCAACCACUGCAAACUACGACAUCAGAGGACAAAACAGCAGAAGCGUUGGGAGGUGACUGUGUUCAAUGAGGCCCUGACCUUUGUGUUGCCAGAUCAACAGAUCAGAGAGUGCACCAUUAUAGUGUCUGUUUAUGAAAUUCAGCCUUCUAACAAGUCGUCCAAACAUUUGAUUGGUCACAUCCACAUCAAAAAGGACAAAACCUUUGAAAAUGAGCACUGGACACUGAUGAUGCAAUCACUACGACAGCCAAUCGCUAAGUGGCAUUUCAUCUUCAUCUGAAUACACCUCAAGUUUAUUGAGGCUUCCAGUUCCUGAGGUGUCUGUUUCAGGUGAGGAAUGAGGAAAUGUGCGCUGUCAAGAAAAUAAAAUGUUAAAUUUGGUUGCUCA